RNAcentral lists this ribosomal RNA (420 nucleotides) under uncultured bacterium. RNAcentral describes it as "bacterial SSU rRNA". It matches the Rfam family "Bacterial small subunit ribosomal RNA", at positions 357 to 770 of the family's 1533-position model. The record is from RNAcentral.
GGGAAUCUUCCACAAUGGGCGAAAGCCUGAUGGAGCAACGCCGCGUGGGUGAAGAAGGUCUUCGGAUCGUAAAACUCUGUUGUUAGAGAAGAACAAGGACGUUAGUAACUGAACGUCCCCUGACGGUAUCUAACCAGAAAGCCACGGCUAACUACGUGCCAGCAGCCGCGGUAAUACGUAGGUGGCAAGCGUUGUCCGGAUUUAUUGGGCGUAAAGCGAGCUCAGGCGGUUUCUUAAGUCAGAGGUGAAAGGCUACGGCUCAACCGUAGUAAGCCUUUGAAACUGGGAGACUUGAGUGCAGAAGAGGAGAGUGGAACUCCAUGUGUAGCGGUGAAAUGCGUAGAUAUAUGGAAGAACACCAGUGGCGAAAGCGGCUCUCUGGUCUGUAACUGACGCUGAGGUUCGAAAGCGUGGGUAGCA